This 425-nucleotide ribosomal RNA is filed under the name uncultured bacterium. RNAcentral describes it as "partial 16S ribosomal RNA". It matches the Rfam family "Bacterial small subunit ribosomal RNA", at positions 354 to 796 of the family's 1533-position model. The record is from RNAcentral.
GUGGGGAAUCUUGCGCAAUGGGCGAAAGCCUGACGCAGCCAUGCCGCGUGAAUGAUGAAGGUCUUAGGAUUGUAAAAUUCUUUCACCGGGGACGAUAAUGACGGUACCCGGAGAAGAAGCUCCGGCUAACUUCGUGCCAGCAGCCGCGGUACUACGAAGGGGGCUAGCGUUGCUCGGAAUUACUGGGCGUAAAGGGCGCGUAGGCGGACAGCUUAGUCAGAGGUGAAAGACCAGGGCUCAACCUUGGAAUUGCCUUUGAUACUGGCUGUCUUGAGUUUGGGAGAGGUGAGUGGAACUCCGAGUGUAGAGGUGAAAUUCGUAGAUAUUCGGAAGAACACCAGUGGCGAAGGCGACUCACUGGCCCAAUACUGACGCUGAGGCGCGAAAGCGUGGGGAGCAAACAGGAUUAGAAACCCUUGUAGUCC